RNAcentral lists this transfer RNA (65 nucleotides) under Propsilocerus taihuensis. RNAcentral's name for it is "tRNA-Asn". Lineage: Eukaryota; Metazoa; Arthropoda; Insecta; Diptera; Chironomidae. The record is from RNAcentral.
UUAAUUAAAGCCAAAAAAGAGGCUUAUCACUGUUAAUGGUAGAACUGGCAGAUUGCCUAAUUAAG